RNAcentral lists this ribosomal RNA (474 nucleotides) under uncultured bacterium. RNAcentral's name for it is "bacterial SSU rRNA". It matches the Rfam family "Bacterial small subunit ribosomal RNA", at positions 355 to 844 of the family's 1533-position model. The record is from RNAcentral.
UGGGGAAUCUUGGACAAUGGGGGCAACCCUGAUCCAGCCAUGCCGCGUGAGUGAUGAAGGCCUUAGGGUUGUAAAGCUCUUUCACCGGUGAAGAUAAUGACGGUAGCCGGAGAAGAAGCCCCGGCUAACUCCGUGCCAGCAGCCGCGGUAAUACGGAGGGGGUUAGCGUUGUUCGGAAUUACUGGGCGUAAAGCGCACGUAGGCGGACCAGAAAGUUGGGGGUGAAAUCCCGGGGGCUCAACCCCGGAACUGCCUCCAAAACUAUUGGUCUAGAGUUCGAGAGAGGUGAGUGGAAUUCCAAGUGUAGAGGUGAAAUUCGUAGAUAUUUGGAGGAACACCAGUGGCGAAGGCGGCUCACUGGCUCGAUACUGACGCUGAGGUGCGAAAGUGUGGGGAGCAAACAGGAUUAGAUACCCUGGGUAGUCCACACCGUAAAACGAUGAAUGCCAGUCGUCGGGUAGCAUGCUAUUCGGU